ACUCAGCUGAUGAGUGCCAAAUAGGACGAAACGCGCAUUCUGGAU
RNAcentral lists this non-coding RNA (45 nucleotides) under Schistosoma haematobium. Lineage: Eukaryota; Metazoa; Platyhelminthes; Trematoda; Strigeidida; Schistosomatidae. The record is from RNAcentral.